This 349-nucleotide ribosomal RNA is filed under the name uncultured eukaryote. RNAcentral's name for it is "SSU rRNA". It matches the Rfam family "Eukaryotic small subunit ribosomal RNA", at positions 587 to 990 of the family's 1831-position model. The record is from RNAcentral.
AGCUCCAAUUGCGUAUAUUAAAGUUGUUGCGGUCAAAAAGCUCGUAGUUGAAGUUCUGCCGAGGAAAUUGGUUCGCCCUCUGGGUGAGUAUCUAGCUCUGCCUGGGGAUCUUCUUGAAGAACGUAGCUGCACUUGACUGCGUGGUGCGGUAUACAGGACUUUUACUUCAGCAUGGAAUAGAUAGGACCUCGGUUCUAUUUUGUUGGUUUCUAGAGCUGAGGUAAUGAUUAAUAGGGAUAGUUGGGGGCAUUCGUAUUUAACUGUCAGAGGUGAAAUUCUUGGAUUUGUCAAAGACGGACUACUGCGAAAGCAUUUGCCAAGGAUGUUUUCAUUGAUCAAGAACGAAAGU